GGUUAAGUUAUUAAGGGCGCAUGGUGAAUGCCUUGGCACUAGGAGCCGAUGAAGGACGGGACUAACACCGAUAUGCCUCGGGGAGCUGUAAGUAAGCUUUGAUCCGGGGAUUUCCGAAUGGGGGAACCUAACUUGUUAUGCAAGUUAUCGUUUAAUGAAUACAUAGUUAAACGAUGGUAGACGUUGUGAACUGAAACAUCUCAUUAGCAACAGGAGAAUAAAGAAAAAUCGAUUCCGUCAGUAGCGGCGAGCGAACACGGAGAAGCCCAAACCAGAGUGCUUGCAUUCUGGGGUUGUAGGACUACCGUUGUGGAGUUACAAAUUUGUUUAUUAGCAGAAUCAGCUGGGAAGCUGAGCGACACUGGGUGAUAGCCCCGUAUGCGAAAGUAAGCAAACUCCCGUGUAGGAUCCUGAGUACGGCUGGACACGUGAAAUCCAGUUGGAAACUGCGAGGACCAUCUCGUAAGGCUAAAUACUCCCUAGUGACCGAUAGUGAACCAGUACCGUGAGGGAAAGG
Molecule: ribosomal RNA, 517 nt
Filed under: Weissella thailandensis
Lineage: Bacteria; Bacillati; Bacillota; Bacilli; Lactobacillales; Lactobacillaceae
Description: bacterial LSU rRNA
Rfam family: Bacterial large subunit ribosomal RNA
Source: RNAcentral